RNAcentral lists this ribosomal RNA (461 nucleotides) under uncultured Methylomirabilota bacterium. RNAcentral's name for it is "bacterial SSU rRNA". It matches the Rfam family "Bacterial small subunit ribosomal RNA", at positions 977 to 1435 of the family's 1533-position model. Lineage: Bacteria; Methylomirabilota (SeqCode). The record is from RNAcentral.
GGGCUUGACAUCCCACGAACCUGCCCGAAAGGGUCGGGUGCCCGCAAGGGAGCGUGGAGACAGGUGGUGCAUGGCUGUCGUCAGCUCGUGUCGUGAGAUGUUGGGUUAAGUCCCGCAACGAGCGCAACCCUCACCCCUUGUUGCCACCGGGUCAUGCCGAGCACUCUAGGGGAACUGCCAGCGUCAAGCUGGAGGAAGGCGGGGAUGACGUCAAGUCAUCAUGCCCCUUACACCCUGGACAACACACGUGCUACAAUGGUUGGUACAAAGGGACGCAAGACCGCGAGGUGGAGCUAAUCCCAAAAAACCAGUCUAAGUUCAGAUUGCAGUCUGCAACUCGACUGCAUGAAGGAGGAAUCGCUAGUAAUCGCGCAUCAGCACGGCGCGGUGAAUACGUUCCCGGGCCUUGUACACACCGCCCGUCACACCACGAAAGCCGGCUGUACUCGAAGUCGCUGAGA